UUGUCUUGUAAUUGGAAUGAUGGUGACCCAAACCCUCACCAGAGUAGCAAUUGGAGGGCAAGUCUGGUGCCAGCAGCCGCGGUAAUUCCAGCUCCAAUAGCGUAUAUUAAACUUGUUGCAGUUAAAAAGCUCGUAGUUGUAUUUUUGCGUUGACGGUUUGACCAUUUGGUUGGUUAUUUCGUUUUCGCUUUUGGGAAUUUCCCUUUUUACUUUGAGAAAAUUAGAGUGUUUCAAGCAGACUUUUGUCUUGAAUACUUCAGCAUGGAAUAAUAGAGUAGGACUUUGGUUCUAUUUUGUUGGUUAUUGAACCUUAGUAAUGGUUAAUAGGAACGGUUGGGGGCAUUCGUAUUUAACUGUCAGAGGUGAAAUUCUUAGAUUUGUUAAAGACGAACUACUGCGAAAGCAUUUGCCAAGGACGUUUCCAUUAAUCAAGAACGAAAGAUAGGGGAUCGAAGACGAUCAGAUACCGUCGUAGUCCUAACCAUAAACUAC
This 492-nucleotide ribosomal RNA is filed under the name Babesia canis canis. RNAcentral describes it as "SSU rRNA". It matches the Rfam family "Eukaryotic small subunit ribosomal RNA", at positions 498 to 1040 of the family's 1831-position model. Lineage: Eukaryota; Apicomplexa; Aconoidasida; Piroplasmida; Babesiidae. The record is from RNAcentral.